GCUCUAGUAGCUUAAAAUCUUAAAGCGUCGUCCUUGUAAAUCGAAGCUGGACCCCCCCCUAGAGCA
Molecule: transfer RNA, 66 nt
Filed under: Macrovipera schweizeri
Lineage: Eukaryota; Metazoa; Chordata; Lepidosauria; Squamata; Viperidae
Description: tRNA-Thr
Rfam family: tRNA
About the family: Transfer RNA (tRNA) molecules are approximately 80 nucleotides in length. Their secondary structure includes four short double-helical elements and three loops (D, anti-codon, and T loops).
Source: RNAcentral